GCCAGGGAUUCUACAGGGGGCCAGGGAACCUGCAGGGGGCCAGGGAUCCUGCAGGGGGCCAGGGAUUCUACAGGGGGCCAGGGAUUCUGCAGGGGGCCAGGGAUUCUUCCCCUGAGAGUGUUGAACUGGUUUAAUAGAACAGUGUUGAACUGGUUUAAUAGAACAGUGUUGAACUGGUUUAAUAGAACAGUGUUGUACUGGUUUAAUAGAACAGUGUUGAACUGGUUUAAUAGAACAGUGUUGAACUGGUUUAAUAGAACAGUGUUGAACUGUUACAUGGAACAGGACCCAGUGGGUCUGCAGGUGGAGUUUCAUAGGGAUGAAUGGUUCUGAUAGAUGGAACAGGACCCAGUGGGUCUGCAGGUGUAGUUUCAUAGGUAUGAAUGGUUCUGAUAGAUGGAACAGGACCCAGUGGGUCUGCAGGUGGAGUUUCAUAUGGAUGAAUGGUUCUGAUAGAUGGAACAGGACCCAGUGGGUCUGCAGGUGGAGUUUACAUUUACAUUUAAGUCAAAGUUUCAUAGGGAUGAAUGGUUCUGAUAGAUGGAACAGGACCCAGUGGGUCUGCAGGUGGAGUUUCAUAGAGAUGAAUGGUUCUGUUAGAUGGAAUAGGACCCAGUGGGUCUGCAGGUGGAGUUUAAUAGGGAUGAAUGGCUCGGUUCUGGUCAGUACAUGACUGUCCAAGAAGGAAAGUUUUCAUUGGUGCUGCUGUAAUAGUGUGACCAAUCACCAUCACUUCCCAGACAGGAGUUUUACAGACAGACAGACAGACAGACAGACAGACAGACAGACAGACAGACAGAGGGUCUUGUCAGUGGACAGACAGUCUCUCCAGAUGGUCAGUGGACAGACAGUCUCUCCAGAUGGUCAGUGGACAGACAAUCUCUCCAAAUGGUCAGUGGACAGACAGUCUCUCCAAAUGGUCAGUGGACAGACAGUCUCUCCAAAUGGUCAGUGGACAGACAGUCUCUCCAGAUGGUCAGUGCGGUAGAUCAGUGAUUUGGCUCUGAGAUUGACCACUGUGAUGGUGAUGGCACAGGAAGGAAAACACUAACGGCAGCGUGUGAUUUGUUUGGCGUGCUGGCCACUGGCGAGGUGGUAAAGUCCUCCUGUUGAUUGUGUGGUGUGGCUUGAUAAGGCUGCCAUGGCGAUGGUGUUUGUGAGAGGGGAAAACACAGUAACGUGUAACACACACACACACACACACACACACACACACACACACACACACACACACACACCUCACCCAGAGAGCAGCUGCACUUGGCAAAGGGAAUAUUUCAAUCCAUUUCUAGUAUGUCUAGUUCCUCUCCUCCCUGACAGAAUGACAUUUAGUUCCUCUGUAAUGUCUGCCGCUGUCUGAGACAGUGUUGUUCUGUCCGUCUCUGUAAUGUCUGCCGCUGUCUGAGACAGAGCUUCCUUCACUGUUUCCAUUGUUUCCUGUGAUAUAAAGGAAGUCGCCAAGACAUCUUUAUUCAUUUAAUCUCCAUUCCAAGACACCCCAAUUCAUUUAUUCUCCAUUCCAAGACACCCCAAUUCAUUUAUUCUCCGUUCCAAGACACCCCAAUUCAUUUAAUCUCCGUUCCAAGACACCCCAAUUCAUUUAAUCUCCGUUCCAGGCGUCAGGUUGGGGAGGUAGGAAACACAUGCGUGUAGCGUGAUAAGGCUGAUGGUGCUUGUGACAGGAGAAAAACACAGUAACGUGUACACGUGUACACACACACACACACACGUUUUGACGCGACCCUGAUGUAAAUGUUGCGAUGUGAAAACCCUGCG
RNAcentral lists this long non-coding RNA (1776 nucleotides) under Salmo salar (Atlantic salmon). RNAcentral describes it as "lncRNA (ENSSSAG00000111150.1)". The record is from RNAcentral. Lineage: Eukaryota; Metazoa; Chordata; Actinopteri; Salmoniformes; Salmonidae.